RNAcentral lists this long non-coding RNA (321 nucleotides) under Gossypium barbadense (sea-island cotton). Its description in RNAcentral is "long non-coding RNA (GBAR_LNC014035)". The record is from RNAcentral. Lineage: Eukaryota; Viridiplantae; Streptophyta; Magnoliopsida; Malvales; Malvaceae.
UAGGGUCCAUAGAAUAUAAAUAGGGCUUCAAAACAUGAGCUUUAAUGUUCUUUAAGUGGUAAAUUUGAUUUAUGUACACAUGAUUAAUAAGUUAUAUAUGUAUAAUAUGUUUUCUAUUAAGCAUAAUCUAUGCAUAAUCUGUUAUCUAUUAAGCAUGUAUGUCAUAUACAUUUUCGAUAUCUUUUAUUUCUGCAUGUGCGUUCGGGUGGGAUAUAUAUUUGCGGAGGAAGUGUGGGCAGCUUAAUCUGUCUGUCGUAUCUAGUGGCUUAGCCACACAUAUAUUUCUGUUACUAGCGAAUUAUCACCUUAAGAUCUGACAGC